Non-coding RNA from Bos taurus (domestic cattle), 73 nucleotides. Lineage: Eukaryota; Metazoa; Chordata; Mammalia; Artiodactyla; Bovidae. The record is from Rfam.
UUCCCGGUGGUCCAGUGGUUAAGACUCUGCACUGCCAAUGCAGGGGGUGCUGGUUCGGUCCCUGGUUGGGGAA